UCUUAUCAAGAGAGGUGGAGGGAUGUGCCCGAUGAAGCCCGGCAACCGUCAAUAGUUUACUAUUGAAAUGGUGCCAAUUCACACAAAGCGGAUGCUUUGGGAGAUG
Molecule: non-coding RNA, 106 nt
Filed under: Neobacillus jeddahensis
Lineage: Bacteria; Bacillati; Bacillota; Bacilli; Caryophanales; Bacillaceae
Description: SAM riboswitch (S box leader)
Rfam family: SAM riboswitch aptamer (S box leader)
About the family: The SAM riboswitch is found upstream of a number of genes which code for proteins involved in methionine or cysteine biosynthesis in Gram-positive bacteria.
Source: RNAcentral